UAGUGUGUGUUUGGGAACACGUUUUCAAAGAACAAACUGGAGUUUACUUUUUCAAACCACGUUUCCAGGCAUUUCAGUUUGUUUGGGUGAAUGAAAAGCACUUCCAAAAAACUCAAUUUUGAGACAAAAACGCAGGUACAGUUAAAGCAGGAAUUCCUAGCUUCUGCGGUAGAGAAAACGCAGGUACAACCUUUAAUUUCUCAAGUGGCAGAUCUGAAUUUCCUUCUGCAAGUUGAAGGUCAUUGCACAAGGAAGCUUUCAGCUUAUUCAAUAAGGAUGGUAGAAAGAAUGGAAUGAAAUUAUUGAGAGAUAGAGGAAGAAGAAAUUGCAACUGUGUAUUAAGAGAUGAGGAAGGGUGUAGAAACAGUGAAGAAAGUUGUGGAGAAAUGGAAGGGAAACACAGAAACUGAGAAAAAGAAAAGUGUGGUAGUUUUUUCUUUUUAAUUGGCCGUAGUGUUUUUUUUUUGUUGAAAAAAGAAAAUCAUUUUUUUUUUGUUUUAAGUUGAAUCAAUGUAUUUCAUCAAGUUAUUGUACUAUACUUUGUAUAUAAGCAAAGAUUCUACAAA
Long non-coding RNA from Medicago truncatula (barrel medic), 566 nucleotides. RefSeq lists it as uncharacterized. Lineage: Eukaryota; Viridiplantae; Streptophyta; Magnoliopsida; Fabales; Fabaceae. The record is from RefSeq and is a predicted model, not a curated record. The transcript has 2 exons.